AAAGAGUUUUCGGACAAUGGAUGUAGAGGGAAGUGGCGGACGGGUGAGUAACGCGUGAGGAACCUGCCUUGAAGAGGGGGACAACAGUUGGAAACGACUGCUAAUACCGCAUGAUGCAUAGGGAUCGCAUGAUUCUUAUGCCAAAGAUUAUCGCUUCAAGAUGGCCUCGCGUCUGAUUAGCUAGUUGGCGGGGUAACGGCCCACCAAGGCGACGAUCAGUAGCCGGACUGAGAGGUUGAACGGCCACAUUGGGACUGAGAUACGGCCCAGACUCCUACGGGAGGCAGCAGUGGGGAAUAUUGCACAAUGGGCGCAAGCCUGAUGCAGCAACGCCGCGUGGAGGAAGACGGUUUUCGGAUUGUAAACUCCUGUUCUUAGUGAAGAAUAAUGACGGUAGCUAAGGAGCAAGCCACGGCUAACUACGUG
This 426-nucleotide ribosomal RNA is filed under the name uncultured bacterium. Its description in RNAcentral is "bacterial SSU rRNA". It matches the Rfam family "Bacterial small subunit ribosomal RNA", at positions 71 to 507 of the family's 1533-position model. The record is from RNAcentral.